Molecule: ribosomal RNA, 2111 nt
Filed under: human gut metagenome
Description: bacterial LSU rRNA
Rfam family: Bacterial large subunit ribosomal RNA
Source: RNAcentral
GCAGGUUGAAGCGCGGGUAAGACCGCGUGGAGGACCGAACCCACCUGGGUUGAAAACCGGGGGGAUGACCUGGGGCUAGGGGUGAAAGGCCAAUCAAAUUCCGUGAUAGCUGGUUCUCUCCGAAAUGCAUUUAGGUGCAGCGUCGGUCGAUUGCGUCGCGGGGGUAGAGCUACCGGAUGCUUGCGGGCCCUUGUUGGGUACCAACAGCAGCCGAACUCCGAAUACCGUUGACGUGUAUUCCGGCAGUGAGUCGGCGGGGGAUAAGCUCCGUCGUCGAGAGGGAGACAGCCCAGACCGUCGUCUAAGGUCCCGAAGCGUGUGCUAAGUGGGAAAGGAUGUGGAGUCGCAUAGACAGCCAGGAGGUUGGCUCAGAAGCAGCCAUCCUUGAAAGAGUGCGUAACAGCUCACUGGUCUAGUGGUUCCGCGCCGACAAUGUAGCGGGGCUCAAGCACACCACCGAAGACGCGGCAGCAAUCUUCAUGGUUGCUGGGUAGGAGAGCGUCCUGCGAGGGGCGAAGCGGCCGGGUAACCGUGCCGUGGACUUCGUGGGAGUGAGAAUGCAGACAUGAGUAGCGAGAGACGGGUGAGGAUCCCGUCCGCUGGAUGACCAAGGGUUCCGGGGCCACGUUCGUCGUCCCCGGGUGAGUCGGGUCCUAAGGCGAGGCCGACAGGCGUAGUCGAAUGGAUGAACGGGUGGAUAUUCCCGUACCGACCAUGGACCGGCAAAACCGAGACGGUGAGUACUAACCUCCGCCUCGUGGUGGUUCCUUCCUUCGGGUUGGUCCCGCCGCGUGGUGUUGGGACCGUAGCCGUAGUAGGUCAGCGCAGGGGUGACACGGAAUGGGAGCCGGCCGCGGAGGUGGUUUUCCGUGGUCAAGCACGCAGCCAGUCAUGUAGGCAAAUCCGCAUGGCGCGCAUGGCGAGGUGUGAUGAUGGGAGCCGUUAUGGCUCGAUAUCCGGUUGUCCAGGCCGUCGAGAAAAGCCUCGGCGUGAGGGCCAUGGCCGCCCGUACCCCAAACCGACACUGGUGGUCAGGUAGAGAAUACCAAGGCGAUCGAGCGAAUCCUGGUCAAGGAACUCGGCAAAUCACUCCCGUGCCUUCGGUAUAAGGGAGACCCGCUGGGGUGAACCGGCUAGCCCGGGGAGCUUUGGUGGGUGGCACAGACCAGGGGGUAGCGACUGUUUACCAAAAACACAGGUGCAUGCGAAGGCGAAAGCCGCUGUAUAUGCACUGACGCCUGCCCGGUGCCGGAAGGUUAAGAGGAUCCGUCAAUCCCUUCGGGGACGAAGCGGUGAAUUCAAGCCCCGGUAAACGGCGGUGGUAACUAUAACCAUCCUAAGGUAGCGAAAUUCCUUGUCGGGUAAGUUCCGACCUGCACGAAUGGCGUAACGACUUCCCCACUGUCUCGACCAGGAGCUCGGCGAAAUUGCAGUACGAGUAAAGAUGCUCGUUAAGCGCAGAAGGACGAAAAGACCCCGGGACCUUUACUAUACCUUGGUAUUGGCGUUAGGCGCGGAUUGUGUAGCAUAGGCGGGAGGCUUCGAAGCGGGUGCGCCAGCAUUCGUGGAGCCGCAAGGUGAAAUACCGCUCUGUUCUCGUUUGACGUCUAACCUCGACAAGUCAUCCUUGUCAGGGACAGUGCCUGGCGGGUAGUUCAACUGGGGCGGUUGCCUCCCAAAGAGUAACGGAGGCGCUCAAAGGUCCGCUCAGCCCGGUUGGCAAUCGGGUGUCGAGUGUAAUCGCACAAGCGGGCUUGACUGCGAGGACGACGGUCCGAGCAGGGACGAAAGUCGGAGAUAGUGAUCCGGUGCCGGCGCACGGGCGCGGCAUCGCUCAACGGAUAAAAGGUACCCCGGGGAUAACAGGCUGAUCAUUCCCAAGAGUCCAUAUCGACGGGAUGGUUUGGCACCUCGAUGUCGGCUCGUCGCAUCCUGGGGCUGGAGCAGGUCCCAAGGGUUCGGCUGUUCGCCGAUUAAAGCGGCACGCGAGCUGGGUUCAGAACGUCGUGAGACAGUUUGGUCUCUAUCCUCUGCGCUCGUUGGAAUCCUGAGGAGGCCUGCCCAUAGUACGAGAGGACCUGGGUGGACGAACCUCUGGUAUGCCGGUUGUC